UGGGGAAUUUUGGACAAUGGGGGCAACCCUGAUCCAGCCAUCCCGCGUGUGCGAUGAAGGCCUUCGGGUUGUAAAGCACUUUUGGCAGGGAAGAAACAGCCUGGGCUAAUAUCCCGGGCGACUGACGGUACCUGCAGAAUAAGCACCGGCUAACUACGUGCCAGCAGCCGCGGUAAUACGUAGGGUGCAAGCGUUAAUCGGAAUUACUGGGCGUAAAGCGUGCGCAGGCGGUUCGGAAAGAAAGGUGUGAAAUCCCAGGGCUUAACCUUGGAACUGCACUUUUAACUACCGGGCUAGAGUACGUCAGAGGGGGGUAGAAUUCCACGUGUAGCAGUGAAAUGCGUAGAGAUGUGGAGGAAUACCGAUGGCGAAGGCAGCCCCCUGGGAUGAUACUGACGCUCAUGCACGAAAGCGUGGGUAGCAAACA
This 427-nucleotide ribosomal RNA is filed under the name uncultured bacterium. Its description in RNAcentral is "bacterial SSU rRNA". It matches the Rfam family "Bacterial small subunit ribosomal RNA", at positions 355 to 774 of the family's 1533-position model. The record is from RNAcentral.